Molecule: ribosomal RNA, 858 nt
Filed under: uncultured Bacteroidota bacterium
Lineage: Bacteria; Pseudomonadati; Bacteroidota
Description: bacterial SSU rRNA
Rfam family: Bacterial small subunit ribosomal RNA
Source: RNAcentral
GGAAACGAUAGAGAAAGCUUGCUUUUUCUAGGCGUCGACCGGCGCACGGGUGAGUAACGCGUAUCCAACCUGCCCAUCACUUGGGGAUAACCUUGCGAAAGUAAGACUAAUACCCAAUGACGUCCAUAGAAGACAUCUGAAAUGGAUUAAAGAUUUAUCGGUGAUGGAUGGGGAUGCGUCUGAUUAGCUUGUUGGCGGGGUAACGGCCCACCAAGGCGACGAUCAGUAGGGGUUCUGAGAGGAAGGUCCCCCACAUUGGAACUGAGACACGGUCCAAACUCCUACGGGAGGCAGCAGUGAGGAAUAUUGGUCAAUGGGCGAGAGCCUGAACCAGCCAAGUAGCGUGCAGGAUGACGGCCCUAUGGGUUGUAAACUGCUUUUAUAAGGGAAUAAAGUGAGUCUCGUGAGACUUUUUGCAUGUACCUUAUGAAUAAGGACCGGCUAAUUCCGUGCCAGCAGCCGCGGUAAUACGGAAGGUCCGGGCGUUAUCCGGAUUUAUUGGGUUUAAAGGGAGCGUAGGCCGGAGAUUAAGCGUGUUGUGAAAUGUAGACGCUCAACGUCUGCACUGCAGCGCGAACUGGUUUCCUUGAGUACGCACAAAGUGGGCGGAAUUCGUGGUGUAGCGGUGAAAUGCUUAGAUAUCACGAAGAACUCCGAUUGCGAAGGCAGCUCACUGGAGCGCAACUGACGCUGAAGCUCGAAAGUGCGGGUAUCGAACAGGAUUAGAUACCCUGGUAGUCCGCACGGUAAACGAUGGAUGCCCGCUGUUGGUCUGAAUAGGUCAGCGGCCAAGCGAAAGCAUUAAGCAUCCCACCUGGGGAGUACGCCGGCAACGGUGCAACUCAAAUGAAUUGACGG